Molecule: ribosomal RNA, 253 nt
Filed under: Faecalibacterium prausnitzii
Lineage: Bacteria; Bacillati; Bacillota; Clostridia; Eubacteriales; Oscillospiraceae
Description: partial 16S ribosomal RNA
Rfam family: Bacterial small subunit ribosomal RNA
Source: RNAcentral
AACGUAGGUCACAAGCGUUGUCCGGAAUUACUGGGUGUAAAGGGAGCGCAGGCGGGAAGACAAGUUGGAAGUGAAAUCCAUGGGCUCAACCCAUGAACUGCUUUCAAAACUGUUUUUCUUGAGUGGUGCAGAGGUAGGCGGAAUUCCCGGUGUAGCGGUGGAAUGCGUAGAUAUCGGGAGGAACACCAGUGGCGAAGGCGGCCUACUGGGCACCAACUGACGCUGAGGCUCGAAAGUGUGGGUAGCAAACAGG